Molecule: non-coding RNA, 52 nt
Organism: Salmo salar (Atlantic salmon)
Lineage: Eukaryota; Metazoa; Chordata; Actinopteri; Salmoniformes; Salmonidae
Source: Rfam
AGUAUUAAAAUGUGUAAGUCGCUCUGGAUAAGCGUCUGCUAAAUGACUAAUA